Molecule: ribosomal RNA, 497 nt
Filed under: uncultured bacterium
Lineage: Bacteria
Description: partial 16S ribosomal RNA
Rfam family: Bacterial small subunit ribosomal RNA
Source: RNAcentral
GAUGAACGCUGGCGGCGUGCCUAAUACAUGCAAGUCGAGCGAACAGACGAGGAGCUUGCUCCUCUGACGUUAGCGGCGGACGGGUGAGUAACACGUGGAUAACCUACCUAUAAGACUGGGAUAACUUCGGGAAACCGGAGCUAAUACCGGAUAAUAUAUUGAACCGCAUGGUUCAAUAGUGAAAGACGGUUUUGCUGUCACUUAUAGAUGGAUCCGCGCCGCAUUAGCUAGUUGGUAAGGUAACGGCUUACCAAGGCGACGAUGCGUAGCCGACCUGAGAGGGUGAUCGGCCACCCUGGAACUGAGACACGGUCCAGACUCCUACGGGAGGCAGCAGUAGGGAAUCUGCCGCAAUGGGCGAAAGCCUGACGGAGCAACGCCGCGUGAGUGAUGAAGGUCUUCGGAUCGUAAAACUCUGUUAUUAGGGAAGAACAAAUGUGUAAGUAACUAUGCACGUCUUGACGGUACCUAAUCAGAAAGCCACGACUAACUACGUG